GAUGAACGCUGGCGGCGUGCCUAAUACAUGCAAGUCGAGCGAACAGACGAGGAGCUUGCUCCUCUGACGUUAGCGGCGGACGGGUGAGUAACACGUGGAUAACCUACCUAUAAGACUGGGAUAACUUCGGGAAACCGGAGCUAAUACCGGAUAAUAUAUUGAACCGCAUGGUUCAAUAGUGAAAGACGGUUUUGCUGUCACUUAUAGAUGGAUCCGCGCCGCAUUAGCUAGUUGGUAAGGUAACGGCUUACCAAGGCGACGAUGCGUAGCCGACCUGAGAGGGUGAUCGGCCACACUGGAACUGAGACACGGUCCAAACUCCUACGGGAGGCAGAAGUAGGGAAUCUUCCGCAAUGGGCGAAAGCCUGACGGAGCAACGCCGCGUGAGUGAUGAAGGUCUUCGGAUCGUAAAACUCUGUUAUUAGGGAAGAACAAAUGUGUAAGUAACUAUGCACGUCUUGACGGUACCUAAUCAGAAAGCCACGGCUAACUACGUG
Molecule: ribosomal RNA, 497 nt
Filed under: uncultured bacterium
Lineage: Bacteria
Description: partial 16S ribosomal RNA
Rfam family: Bacterial small subunit ribosomal RNA
Source: RNAcentral